RNAcentral lists this non-coding RNA (764 nucleotides) under Leptidea morsei. The record is from RNAcentral. Lineage: Eukaryota; Metazoa; Arthropoda; Insecta; Lepidoptera; Pieridae.
AAAUAAACUUUUACCAUUUGAAGAAUUUAUUUUAAAUUCAAAUUAUAUAUAAAUUUUAGUGUUAAUUUUUCCUUAUUUUAAUAAUAAUAAUAUAAAGUAGUAAUUAAAAUUAAAAAUUUAAGAAAUUAAGAUUUAGGGAUAUUAAAAUUAAUAACCAAUUUUGUGCCAGCAGUUGCGGUUAUACAAAAAUUAAAAUAAAUUUUAUUAGUUAAAAUAAACAAUUGAUUUAAAUAAAUUAAAUUUAAGAUUAUUAAGUGAAAUUUUAAUUUAAUUAAAAUUUAUUUUUGUGAAUUUUAAAAUUUUGUAAAAAACUAGGAUUAGAUACCCUAUUAUUAAAAAAAUAAAAUAAAUUAAGCUGAAAUAGUAUAUUAAUUAUUGAAACUUAAGUAAUUUGGCGGUAUUUUAGUUCAUUUAGAGGAAUCUGUUUAAUAAUUGAUAGUCCACGAUUAAAUUUACUUAAUUUUUAAUUUUAUAUAUCGUUGUUAAAAAAAUAUUUAGUAAUAAUAAUAAUAUUUAAAAAUUAAAAUAAAGAUUAAUUCAGAUCAAGAUGUAGAUUAUAAUUAAGAAUAUAAUGGAUUACAAUAAUAAAAAAUUAAAUGAAUAUGAUUUUGAAAAAGAUCAUUGAAGGUGGAUUUAAAUGUAAUUUUAUUUAAUUUAAUAAAAUGAUUAAAAAUUAAAAUAUGUACAUAUUGCCCGUCACUUUCAUUUAAAAAUUGGAAUAAGUCGUAACAAAGUAGAGGUACUGGAAAGUGUUUCUAGAAAGA